CUGCAUGCACUGAUAGCCCUAGAGCAGUUUGUCGUUGUUCUUCUAGUCUGUUCUAGGGUGCAAAAGAAAUGUGCCCUGGGUGUUCUGCCUGGCCCUGUGGCGUCCAGAUUGAAUUGGCGAGUACGUCU
Small nucleolar RNA from Meriones unguiculatus (Mongolian gerbil), 128 nucleotides. The record is from Ensembl. NCBI's taxonomy places the organism in Eukaryota, Metazoa, Chordata, Mammalia, Rodentia, Muridae.